AGCUUUGCACAGUGGAAACAUCAUAGCCAAAGAGGUUUAUCCGAGUUGCAAUUAUUACUGAUAUAAAUAUCUUCUCUCA
Molecule: small nuclear RNA, 79 nt
Filed under: Cervus elaphus hippelaphus
Lineage: Eukaryota; Metazoa; Chordata; Mammalia; Artiodactyla; Cervidae
Source: RNAcentral